UAUUUUCAAUUUCUUGUUAGCAAUUUUUAAAGAAUUACGAGUCGGCGGGGCCAUAUUGAGUGCCUCAAAUAUAUGCUGUCUGCCAUUUGUCGCUAUUUGAAAUUCACAAUGAAAAAUAAAUUAUGGGCAUUUGUUUUUAUUUUUCAUCGAAAUUAAACACUUCGUGCAACUUUCGUGAAAUAUUUCGAAAAUAUACGUUUCAUGAAACUGUUACACCAUAUGUAAAAUAUAAAGAACCUCUGUGCAAAAUUUUAAAUUUCUAGAUCUGUGGUUCUUAAGGCGAUUCAGUGACGAAUCAGCACUCGGUGAGCGAGUGAGUGGUAUUUGGCUUUUACACAAAAUAAUAUUGUACAAUUCCCUUGUACCGAUCGAUUUGUAUACACGUAGUGUCUACGUAGGAUUUAUUCGUUUUAAACAAUACGGAACAUAAAAAAUAAAAUCCUUGGCGCCACUAUGAAUUAAUAUAUAAUUGUGUACAAUUGUCCCGAUAUAUAUUUACGCGUUUUACAGACGUCUAGACGCACGGCGGUCCCUUAAUUUUUGUCUGAAUGGCACUGCGGCCAAGGACUUAUAAUACCUAUGAGUUAUGAGUUUUUCGAUCAUUUUUUUUUUUCCACUGUCCACGAUUAAUUAUUAUUGUCAAUAAACGGUGACCAGAGACCAGGACCCGGGGUCAAUUGAAUCUAUAGACUACUUUAUGGCUCUGUAAUAAUGUACACGUGGCACAUUUAGCGAUCGUUAAGCAUAAUAAUAUAACUAUGUAAAAACUGUGUACUUAAUAAUAUUAUUAUUAUUAUCCUAGAGUGCGUAAUUUUUA
Molecule: non-coding RNA, 817 nt
Organism: Cinara cedri
Lineage: Eukaryota; Metazoa; Arthropoda; Insecta; Hemiptera; Aphididae
Source: the annotation of a GenBank genome assembly